RNAcentral lists this ribosomal RNA (253 nucleotides) under uncultured bacterium. Its description in RNAcentral is "partial 16S ribosomal RNA". It matches the Rfam family "Bacterial small subunit ribosomal RNA", at positions 524 to 776 of the family's 1533-position model. The record is from RNAcentral.
UACGAGGGGGGCAAGCGUUGUUCGGAUUUACUGGGCGUAAAUCGCACGUAGGCGGGUCAUUAAGUCGGGGGUGAAAUCCUGGAGCUCAACUCCAGAACUGCCUCCGAAACUGAUGAUCUUGAGUUCGGGAGAGGUGAGUGGAACUGCGAGUGUAGAGGUGAAAUUCGUAGAUAUUCGCAAGAACACCAGUGGCGAAGGCGGCUCACUGGCCCGAUACUGACGCUGAGGUGCGAAAGCGUGGGGAGCAAACAGG